RNAcentral lists this ribosomal RNA (274 nucleotides) under uncultured bacterium. RNAcentral describes it as "partial 16S ribosomal RNA". It matches the Rfam family "Bacterial small subunit ribosomal RNA", at positions 523 to 796 of the family's 1533-position model. The record is from RNAcentral.
AUACGUAGGCACCAAGCGUUGUUCGGAAUUACUGGGCGUAAAGCGAGUGUAGGCGGUUUGCCAAGUCCGUUGUGAAAUCUCCCGGCUUAACCGGGAGGGUGCGGCGGAAACUGGCAGGCUAGAGUGCGGAAGGGGAGAGCGGAAUUCCUGGUGUAGCGGUGAAAUGCGUAGAUAUCAGGAGGAACGCCGGCGGUGAAGACGGCUCUCUGGACCGCUACUGACGCUGAGACUCGAAAGCGUGGGGAGCAAACAGGAUUAGAUACCCCAGUAGUCC